RNAcentral lists this ribosomal RNA (429 nucleotides) under Gemmatimonadota bacterium. RNAcentral's name for it is "Gemmatimonadetes bacterium partial 16S ribosomal RNA". It matches the Rfam family "Bacterial small subunit ribosomal RNA", at positions 355 to 776 of the family's 1533-position model. The record is from RNAcentral. Lineage: Bacteria; Pseudomonadati; Gemmatimonadota.
UAGGGAAUCUUCGGCAAUGGACGAAAGUCUGACCGAGCAACGCCGCGUGAGUGAAGAAGGUUUUCGGAUCGUAAAACUCUGUUGUUAGAGAAGAACAAGGACGUUAGUAACUGAACGUCCCCUGACGGUAUCUAACCAGAAAGCCACGGCUCACUACGUGCCAGCAGCCGCGGUAAUACGUAGGUGGCAAGCGUUGUCCGGAUUUAUUGGGCGUAAAGCGAGCGCAGGCGGUUUCUUAAGUCUGGUGUGAAAGCCCCCGGCUCAACCGGGGAGGGUCAUUGGAAACUGGGAGACGUGAGUGCAGAAGAGGAGAGUGGAAUUCCGUGUGUAGCGGAGAAAUGCGUAGAUAUAUGGAGGAACACCAGUGGCGAAGGCGGCUCUCUGGUCUGUAACUGACGCUGAGGCUCGAAAGCGUGGGGAGCAAACAGG